This 451-nucleotide ribosomal RNA is filed under the name uncultured bacterium. Its description in RNAcentral is "partial 16S ribosomal RNA". It matches the Rfam family "Bacterial small subunit ribosomal RNA", at positions 28 to 507 of the family's 1533-position model. The record is from RNAcentral.
GAUGAACGCUGGCGGCGUGCCUAACACAUGCAAGUCGAGCGGCAGCGAGGGGUGCUUGCACCCUGUCGGCGAGCGGCGGACGGCUGAGUAACGCGUGGGAACGUGCCCCAAAGUGAGGAAUAACUGCCCGAAAGGGUAGCUAAUACCGCAUAGUAUCUUCGGAUCAAAGGAUUUAUCCGCUUUGGAAGCGGCUCGCGUCUGAUUAGGUAGUUGGUGAGGUAAUGGCUCACCAAGCCGGCGACCCGUAGCUGGUCUGGGAGGAGGACCAGCCAGACUGGAACUGAGACACGGUCCAGACUCCUACGGGAGGCAGCAGUGAGGAAUCUUCCAGAAUGGGCGAAAGCCUGAUGGAGCAACGCCGCGUGCAGGACGAAGGCCUUCGGGUUGUAAACUGCUUUUAUAAGUGAGGAAUAUGACGGUAACUUAUGAAUAAGGAUCGGCUAACUACGUG